This 460-nucleotide ribosomal RNA is filed under the name uncultured bacterium. RNAcentral describes it as "bacterial SSU rRNA". It matches the Rfam family "Bacterial small subunit ribosomal RNA", at positions 29 to 532 of the family's 1533-position model. The record is from RNAcentral.
AACGAACGCUGGCGGCAGGCCUAACACAUGCAAGUCGAGCGAACCCUUCGGGGUUAGCGGCGGACGGGUUAGUAACGCGUGGGAAUAUACCCUUUGGUACGGAAUAGCCUCGGGAAACUGAGAGUAAUACCGUAUGUGCCCUUCGGGGGAAAGAUUUAUCGCCAAAGGAUUAGCCCGCGUUGGAUUAGAUAGUUGGUGGGGUAAUGGCCUACCAAGUCUACGAUCCAUAGCUGGUUUGAGAGGAUGAUCAGCAACACUGGGACUGAGACACGGCCCAGACUCCUACGGGAGGCAGCAGUGGGGAAUCUUAGACAAUGGGGGAAACCCUGAUCUAGCCAUGCCGCGUGAUCGAUGAAGGCCUUAGGGUUGUAAAGAUCUUUCAGAUGGGAAGAUAAUGACGGUACCAUCAGAAGAAGCCCCCGGCUAACUCCGUGCCAGCAGCCGCGGUAAUGUACAGUGU